Molecule: ribosomal RNA, 747 nt
Filed under: uncultured bacterium
Lineage: Bacteria
Description: bacterial SSU rRNA
Rfam family: Bacterial small subunit ribosomal RNA
Source: RNAcentral
GCAGUCGAGCGAGUCUGCCUUGAAGAUCGGAGUGCUUGCACUCUGUGAAACAAGAUACAGGCUAGCGGCGGACGGGUGAGUAACACGUGGGUAACCUGCCCAAGAGAUCGGGAUAACACCUGGAAACAGAUGCUAAUACCGGAUAAUAACAGAUGAUGCCUAUCAACUGUUUAAAAGAUGGUUCUGCUAUCACUCUUGGAUGGACCUGCGGUGCAUUAGCUAGUUGGUAGGGUAACGGCCUACCAAGGCGAUGAUGCAUAGCCGAGUUGAGAGACUGAUCGGCCACAUUGGGACUGAGACACGGCCCAAACUCCUACGGGAGGCAGCAGUAGGGAAUCUUCCACAAUGGACGCAAGUCUGAUGGAGCAACGCCGCGUGAGUGAAGAAGGGUUUCGGCUCGUAAAGCUCUGUUGUUGGUGAAGAAGGACAGGGGUAGUAACUGACCUUUGUUUGACGGUAAUCAAUUAGAAAGUCACGGCUAACUACGUGCCAGCAGCCGCAGUAAUACGUAGGUGGCAAGCGUUGUCCGGAUUUAUUGGGCGUAAAGCGAGUGCAGGCGGUUCGAUAAGUCUGAUGUGAAAGCCUUCGGCUCAACCGGAGAAUUGCAUCAGAAACUGUCGAGCUUGAGUACAGAAGAGGAGAGUGGAACUCCAUGUGUAGCGGUGAAAUGCGUAGAUAUAUGGAAGAACACCGGUGGCGAAGGCGGCUCUCUGGUCUGUUACUGACGCUGAGGCUCGAAAGCAUGGG